RNAcentral lists this ribosomal RNA (253 nucleotides) under uncultured bacterium. Its description in RNAcentral is "partial 16S ribosomal RNA". It matches the Rfam family "Bacterial small subunit ribosomal RNA", at positions 524 to 776 of the family's 1533-position model. The record is from RNAcentral.
UACGGAGGGUGCAAGCGUUGUCCGGAAUCACUGGGCGUAAAGAGCGCGCAGGCGGUCGUUCAAGUCGAGUGUGAAAGCCCCCGGCUCAACUGGGGAGGGUCACUCGAUACUGAUCGACUCGAAGGCAGGAGAGGGUAGUGGAAUUCCCGGUGUAGUGGUGAAAUGCGUAGAUAUCGGGAGGAACACCAGAGGCGAAGGCGGCAUUCUGGACGACAUCAGACGCUGAGACGCGACAGCACGGGGAGCGAACGGG